This 531-nucleotide ribosomal RNA is filed under the name uncultured Cryptophyta. RNAcentral describes it as "SSU rRNA". It matches the Rfam family "Eukaryotic small subunit ribosomal RNA", at positions 626 to 1168 of the family's 1831-position model. Lineage: Eukaryota; Cryptophyceae. The record is from RNAcentral.
GCUUGUAGUCGGAUUUUGGGCGCGUGUGAACUGUCGGCCUCUGGUUGGACGGUGCGCGCGUGCCUUUCUGCUUGGGAGCCCCAUGGUGGUUAAUUCUGUCGUGGUGGGUCACAGGCCGUUUACUUUGAAAAGAUUAGAGUGUUCAAAGCAGGCUGUUGCUUGAAUAGAUUAGCAUGGAAUAAUGGAAUAGGACCUUGGUGCUAUUUCGUUGGUUAUGGGACUGGGGUAAUGAUUAAUAGGGACAGUUGGGGCCGUUCAUAUUUCGUUGUCAGAGGUGAAAUUCUUGGAUUUACGAACGAUGAACUUGUGCGAAAGCAUUCGGCAAGGAUGUUUUCAUUGAUCAANAACGAAAGUUAGGGGAUCGAAGACGAUCAAAUACCGUCGUAGUCUUAACCAUAAACUAUGCCAACUAGGGAUCAUUGAGUGUCAAUUUNCGACCUCAUUGGCACCUUGUGANAAAUCAAAGUUUUUGGGUUCCGGGGGGAGUAUGGUCGCAAGGCUGAAACUUACAGGAAUUGACGGAAGGGCACC